GACGGAGGGUGCUAGCGUUGUUCGGAAUCACUGGGCGUAAAGGGCGCGUAGGCGGCCUCAGGUGUCGGAUGUGAAAGCCCGGGGCUCAACCCCGGAGGUGCAUCCGAAACUCUGGGGCUGGAGGUCGGAAGAGGAGGGUGGAAUACCCAGUGUAGAGGUGAAAUUCGUAGAUAUUGGGUGGAACACCGGUGGCGAAAGCGGCUCUCUGGUCCGGACCUGACGCUGAGGCGCGAGAGCGUGGGGAGCAAACAGG
Molecule: ribosomal RNA, 253 nt
Filed under: uncultured bacterium
Lineage: Bacteria
Description: partial 16S ribosomal RNA
Rfam family: Bacterial small subunit ribosomal RNA
Source: RNAcentral